UACAGAGGUCUCAAGCGUUGUUCGGAUUCAUUGGGCGUAAAGGGUGCGUAGGCGGCGCCGUAAGUCAGGUGUGAAAUUUCGGAGCUUAACUCCGAAACUGCAUUUGAUACUGCGGUGCUUGAGGACUGGAGAGGAGACUGGAAUUUAUGGUGUAGCAGUGAAAUGCGUAGAGAUCGUAAGGAAGACCAGUGGCGAAGGCGGGUCUCUGGACAGUUCCUGACGCUGAGGCACGAAGGCCAGGGGAGCAAACGGG
RNAcentral lists this ribosomal RNA (253 nucleotides) under uncultured bacterium. Its description in RNAcentral is "partial 16S ribosomal RNA". It matches the Rfam family "Bacterial small subunit ribosomal RNA", at positions 524 to 776 of the family's 1533-position model. The record is from RNAcentral.